Molecule: ribosomal RNA, 207 nt
Filed under: uncultured bacterium
Lineage: Bacteria
Description: partial 16S ribosomal RNA
Rfam family: Bacterial small subunit ribosomal RNA
Source: RNAcentral
UGUGUAGGCGGUCCUCUAAGUUUGGUGUGAAAUCUCCCGGCUCAACCGGGAGGGUGCGCCGAAAACUGGGGGGCUAGAGUGCGGGAUGGGAGAGUGGAAUUCCUGGUGUAGCGGUGAAAUGCGUAGAUAUCAGGAGGAACACCGGUGGUGUAGACGGCUCUCUGGACCGUAACUGACGCUGAGACACGAAAGCGUGGGUAGCAAACA